UUUAUGAAGGGUUUGAUCCUGGCUCAGAAUGAACGUUGGCGGCGUGGAUUAGGCAUGCAAGUCGAACGAGAACCCCGCAAGGGGUGAAAGUGGCAAACGGCGUAGUAAGGCGUAGGUGACGUACCUCCCGAUUCGGGAUAGCUACGGGAAACUGUAGGUAAUACCGGAUAAUCCCUCCAGGAUUGAAAACUGGAGUGCAAAGGUGUGAUUCCGUCAGGAGAGCGGCUUACGUGGUAUUAGCUAGUUGGUGAG
This 252-nucleotide ribosomal RNA is filed under the name Planctomycetales bacterium. RNAcentral's name for it is "partial 16S ribosomal RNA". It matches the Rfam family "Bacterial small subunit ribosomal RNA", at positions 1 to 256 of the family's 1533-position model. The record is from RNAcentral. Lineage: Bacteria; Pseudomonadati; Planctomycetota; Planctomycetia; Planctomycetales.